RNAcentral lists this transfer RNA (83 nucleotides) under Solirubrobacteraceae bacterium. Its description in RNAcentral is "tRNA-Leu". It matches the Rfam family "tRNA". From Rfam's summary of the family: Transfer RNA (tRNA) molecules are approximately 80 nucleotides in length. Their secondary structure includes four short double-helical elements and three loops (D, anti-codon, and T loops). Lineage: Bacteria; Bacillati; Actinomycetota; Thermoleophilia; Solirubrobacterales; Solirubrobacteraceae. The record is from RNAcentral. RNAcentral also lists the same sequence under 2 other names.
GCGGGCGUGGCGAAAUUGGCAGACGCGCCGGCUUUAGGUGCCGGUGGGCUUAGCUCAUGGGGGUUCGAGUCCCUCCGCCCGCA